Hibiscus syriacus is the source of this 416-nucleotide long non-coding RNA. RefSeq lists it as uncharacterized. The transcript has 2 exons. NCBI's taxonomy places the organism in Eukaryota, Viridiplantae, Streptophyta, Magnoliopsida, Malvales, Malvaceae. The record is from RefSeq and is a predicted model, not a curated record.
UUUGAAACUACACCGUUUUGUAAAUUGAUUAAAAUAGGGUUUAUCUUUUCUAACCCUUUUACCCAUUCACACUACUCUCAGCCGUAUCUCUCUUCUAAACUCUCAUUCUUCUUCAUUUUUUAUUUUUCAAACCUUCAAAAAUCCCAAAACCGACCCCUUUCCUUUGAAACUCGAAACUACAACUUUAAAAACGGGAAAAAAAUUACCUUCGUGAUGGGGUUCUUCUUCUCCGGCGAGGGCUUCCAAAAAUAAGAUGGAUGUUGAUGGACGUGAUCUCCAUAUGGCAAUAUGAUAUUGGCAAUCGUGUUCGGAUUCUAUUUGUUCUAGCCCUUGAAGCGGUACGUGAUUACGUGGAAGUUCAUACACCAUGUGCUCUGUCCUUAACCGCCUAUUUUGCUUCAGUUUAAGAGCUGUGG